CCUACGGGCGGCAGCAGUGGGGAAUAUUGGACAAUGGGGGCAACCCUGAUCCAGCCAUGCCGCGUGUGUGAAGAAGGCCCUCGGGUUGUAAAGCACUUUCAGUGAGGAAGAACGCCUAGUGGUUAAUACCCAUCAGGAAAGACAUCACUCACAGAAGAAGCACCGGCUAACUCCGUGCCAGCAGCCGCGGUAAUACGGAGGGUGCGAGCGUUAAUCGGAAUUACUGGGCGUAAAGCGCGCGUAGGUGGCUUGAUAAGCCGGUUGUGAAAGCCCCGGGCUCAACCUGGGAACGGCAUCCGGAACUGUCAAGCUAGAGUGCAGGAGAGGAAGGUAGAAUUCCCGGUGUAGCGGUGAAAUGCGUAGAGAUCGGGAGGAAUACCAGUGGCGAAGGCGGCCUUCUGGACUGACACUGACACUGAGGUGCGAAAGCGUGGGUAGCAAACAGGAUUAGAUACCCCGGUAGUC
RNAcentral lists this ribosomal RNA (465 nucleotides) under Vreelandella stevensii. Its description in RNAcentral is "partial 16S ribosomal RNA". It matches the Rfam family "Bacterial small subunit ribosomal RNA", at positions 338 to 795 of the family's 1533-position model. The record is from RNAcentral. Lineage: Bacteria; Pseudomonadati; Pseudomonadota; Gammaproteobacteria; Oceanospirillales; Halomonadaceae.